RNAcentral lists this transfer RNA (69 nucleotides) under Crotaphatrema lamottei. Its description in RNAcentral is "tRNA-Phe". It matches the Rfam family "tRNA". From Rfam's summary of the family: Transfer RNA (tRNA) molecules are approximately 80 nucleotides in length. Their secondary structure includes four short double-helical elements and three loops (D, anti-codon, and T loops). Further hydrogen bonds mediate the characteristic L-shaped molecular structure. tRNAs have two regions of fundamental functional importance: the anti-codon, which is responsible for specific mRNA codon recognition, and the 3' end, to which the tRNAs corresponding amino acid is attached (by aminoacyl-tRNA synthetases). tRNAs cope with the degeneracy of the genetic code in two manners: having more than one tRNA (with a specific anti-codon) for a particular amino acid; and 'wobble' base-pairing, i.e. permitting non-standard base-pairing at the 3rd anti-codon position. Lineage: Eukaryota; Metazoa; Chordata; Amphibia; Gymnophiona; Scolecomorphidae. The record is from RNAcentral.
GUUUAUGUAGCUUAUUCAAAGCACAGCACUGAAAAUGCUAAGAUAAAAUUUUAACAGUUUUCUUGAACA